ACGUUGAAAGCAGUCUUAGAGCCUCAAAUCCGAUGCCCCCUCCCCAAGCCAUUCCCUCGGCCGCGACAUCAACGGCAACGAGCAUGGCCCCCCUCUACCUCCUCCACCUUGCCGUUUGUGGCCUCCGCACCGCCCCAACGUCGACACCUCCGUCCUCCCCCUCUACUCCCAGCGCACCACCGCCGCGUAUGCGCUAUCCCACCCGAUGGACGUGUUGCCGCCUCUGCAGCACGCCCUGUCGCUGCCGACCCCGCCCAGCCAUGCAUUUGGAGUUUACAAUGUGGAGACAUGGUUUAUCCACCGGACGGCGAGGUUGGUGCGCGGAUGGCGAGGGAGGACCUCCACUGGGCCUACUCCACACCUCUUCCUGUCUACCGAGGUCGAGCACAUGGAGGACCUGCUCCGCUGUCGGGCACUCCUGAGCCAGCGACUACAAAAUCCACUCUGGUUCUCUACUUCACCCUCCAUAUUACAAUAUGUACUCUGUAGAUGUGAGAUGAGACACCCAAGCAGUCAAACUAAACACUAUUGUCCAAUCCCCUCUUCCAAAUUCAUUACAAUCCUAUUAGCAUGCAAAGAUUUAAUUUGAUGCAAUGUUUUGAUUUGUACUACGUUUUUACUAGCUUUGCAGAUGCUUCAGAAGGUUAUGGUCAGUGACUUUUUUCUUUUCAGAUUUGUUAGAAUAGACACAGAAAUUUAGAUUUCUCUCCUGUAAUGUUGUUAGCAUUGGUCUUAAUUUUAUUUGCUGUUGUUAGGAGAGGAUUUGAUUAUCAUGAUCAGUACAAGAUAUCAAUCAUUAAAUAGCGAAUUCACUCUAAUUUCUAGCCACCAUUUUUCUAAGUACCAUGUUGCUGCUCUCUUUCCGCUGGAUGAACAUUUGAACAGUGGCACUGAAUAGUGAUCUUAUAGUGCUGGCCCGCAACACAUGGGGUGCUUCUGUUCUUUUACCCAUUGAAAUGUUAUGGAUCUUUUUUCUAAUCUAAGAUUAGAAGUAUGGUCGUGAUACUAUUUUGCUAUAAUCUAUGAAUGUUUUUCUGUAAAAACCAAUCUGUUUUUGCUUUAGAUUACCAAACUAAAUUGUCUCUAUGCUUUUUUGUGGGUGAUUUUGUUGGACCCCUACAGCCGUGAUGGCAUGGGAGGCUGGCAAGUCGAUUCUUUGUAUAUAGUUAGUAGUACAAAACUAUAUGCUAUGAGGGUCCGGAGAAAUUGACGAUGAGGAGCAGCUAGAGGUCGUGGUGGAGAAGGGCUAGAGAAAGGGAUGACGAGGGACAGUUGCAAGUUGUGGUGGAGAAGGGCGACGACCCCAUGACAACAUGGGGUGAAUUUCUAUAUCAGUUGCCAAUCAUAAGAAACAAAUCUUAUUAUUGCACUCCAGGUAUUAUGCACAGGCUUUGGAGUUCUUGAUGUUUCCUGUUUGUGUAAACUCAAACGCCGAGGAUUUUAUUGAAGCAAUAAAAGGGCCAGAUGCUAUUAUUGUUGGCUAUAUCAGACAGUUUGUCAUCAAGCCUUUGUUUGGAUUCCUUUUUGGCACUCUUAUGGAGUACUAAGCUACACUGAAGAAUUUGGGCUUAAGAGUGAGGUUUUGAAGGUGACUCUUGCAACUGACGUCGUGAACUGAGUGUGAAUAUCUACUGGAUGGGCAAGCAAGUUUCCAACCCCAUGCCCUCCCAUCGAUUCUGCUGCCUGAUCCGGCUAGAGUUUAUUAGGACUCGCAACUACCUCGGAGUUCACUGCUGUAAAUAUGGGUAACACCCUACCAGUGCACGAUAUGUCGGAAUCCACAGGUAAAAUCGAAUCUAUGUUGCUUCAAAAGUUACUCCCUUUUGUCUGUUCUUGGCUAGAACAAGGUCUGGUCAAAAUAAGAAUGCUUUUUGUUCCAUUUUAGUUGGAGUUUGGGUUUUCAAAUCUGGGCCAGAUUAGUUCGAUUUAAUAAUUUGGUUUCUAAGGUGCAGCAGCCAUAGGAUCUCCCAACAAGGAGGAUCUUGCAACAAUGACAUUGAUCAAGAAUUGGAUGUUGGAAAUUAUGGUUUGGCAUUGUUACUUCUCUUACUCCUGUUUCAUGUCCCAAUCUGAGCUGACUCGUGUUGGUAAUCAUGUAAUUUUUCCUUCGUGCUUCUAUUCUUCCUAUACGCUUUAGGCAUGGCAUGUUGUGCACUAACAUUUUGAUUAACAAUACAACACAUGGUCAUACAUAUGGUAUUGUUGCACUAUUUUUUUGUUGCAACGCACGGGUAUUCAACCAGGGCAUCUCAGAUUGGGAGUGGGAGGAGGAUGAGGAGAUGAUUUGGUGCUACCAGGGACAGGCCCCAUCUCCUAGAAAUGGAUCUUCCUCCUUUGCAUGGGCAACUUGUGCAUCGGGCUACUCUUCACCAACAGAAAACCAUCACUGAGAAAGAGCAGUUAGCAAGUGGUGUUGUCGUGUUGCGACUCAAAAGGGCUUGCCUAUGGGCAUCCACAUAGGAGCCAUCCCCAAAUGCUGACUGACCAAAUGUUCGGUAUGGGAGCCACAAAUAGCAGCACGAUGGGAAUGCAGCAGCAGCAGCAAGGGGUAUACGGGAACAUGCAGGCAGGUGCCCAGAACGUGCAAAGUAUGGCGGGCCUUCAGAACCAGACCCAGAAUCCCAACUUCACUCAGCAGAUUCAACAAAACCAACAAUGAUUCAACACUAACGGUCAUGGAGGUUGAAAGAUGAGCAAUAUAGCCAUCGUUUUGCUAUUUGUCUGUUGGUCUUUACUCAGCUUAUCCGUGAGACUGAUAGUAGCCCCAGGUUGAUAGCCUUCGUUUUUCUGUAAAUCAAUGUAGAUGCAUCGCCAUUAGCGAGAUGCAGGUCAAUUAUAUACGUUGUAACUGUGUUUCGGAUAUGUGAAUCGUGUUACGUGCGUUCCUUUUAUUUAUAAUUAAGCCUCGCAGCAAGGCCGACAAUCGAAUUGCAUACGGCUAGACGAGUGGGUGGUUCAUCAGGAUGAAAAUUGGUCAUCAGGUGGACCCUAGAAUUAUUUGAGGAACUCACAGAUGUACUGUAAUAUGUAUUCCCUGUUGUCUUUCUGGAUAAAUAGCCCAAGAUGUUGGCCCUA
RNA transcript from Zea mays, 3075 nucleotides. RefSeq lists it as uncharacterized. The transcript is spliced from 4 exons. The record is from RefSeq and is a predicted model, not a curated record. NCBI's taxonomy places the organism in Eukaryota, Viridiplantae, Streptophyta, Magnoliopsida, Poales, Poaceae.